GCUCAGACUGUGAAAGAGACAGAAAGGUUGCCAUUAGCCAUGAAGUGGCUCCUCAUCACCUUUGCCCUCACUCUUCUUGUCUCAGGGAAACAAAGUUUGCUGCCACAAUUGUCAUGGAACAACUUGAAAAAGAAAUGGGAUAAACAUAAUGAGUCAGAAGACAAAUUUCCGGAAAGAGAUAAUUUCAAUGGCCUAAUCUGCCCAACCUGCAAUGUGAUGGGAGCUCAGCAAGUCUGCAAUGAAGAAAAGAAGCUUUGUACCUACAAGAACAACAGUUGCCUCCUUCUCAAAGGGAACCUAAAAAUGGGCCAUUUUUUCUAUGAAAUAGUAAUGAAGAGAUGUGGUUCUGAAGAAGAUUGUAAAAAUGACAUCACAGAUUUAUAUGGUUUCAAGUUAUGGACUAAGGAGAAGAUCUGUAUGAAAGCUGCAUUUGCUUUGACACCCAGAGGUCCAGUUCUGACCACCAUUACAGUACUAUUGGUCAUCAUUGCUUGGUUGCAGUUGUUCUGAAGAACUUUACAAUAGAUUAUCCUUCUAUCAAGUCAGCCACCAAAUCACAGAAUCAACAUCUUCUAAUUUGAAGGAAUGUAUGAUUCAUUAACAACUAUAAUUUUUACUGACUUUUUUUUUUGUUAGUAGUUAAGUAGUUAUUUAUUUUUAUAUAUUUUAUUUAUAUAUAUUUAUAUAUAUUUAUAUAUAUUAUAUAUAUUUAUAUAUAUUUAUUAUAUAUAUUAUAUUUAUAUAUAUUUAUAUAUAUUAUUAUAAGUAGUUAGUAGUUAAGAUGCUAUUUAUUCAUUUUUUUUGUUCAUUUCACUUCCCUAAUGCAAGAAAGUUUGUAUGAUUUUUAGUGCAACAAUAUCAGACCAAUUC
RNAcentral lists this long non-coding RNA (870 nucleotides) under Monodelphis domestica (gray short-tailed opossum). Its description in RNAcentral is "lncRNA (ENSMODG00000050278.1)". Lineage: Eukaryota; Metazoa; Chordata; Mammalia; Didelphimorphia; Didelphidae. The record is from RNAcentral.